RNAcentral lists this long non-coding RNA (225 nucleotides) under Elaeis guineensis (African oil palm). RNAcentral describes it as "long non-coding RNA (EGUI_LNC033721)". Lineage: Eukaryota; Viridiplantae; Streptophyta; Magnoliopsida; Arecales; Arecaceae. The record is from RNAcentral.
GUGGGUAGAAAUCACGAUAAAAAGAAAUAUAUAACAUUAAUUAUAUUGCUUUUUGUUUUGUUCUUUGUACACCAUUAUGUUUGUUUGAUUAAUGCUACACUCCAUUAAAGUUUCUACUAUUUAUACAAGUUUGUUGUUUAUAUUAUAAAAAUAUUUUAUGGUUAGUCUAGAGAGUCGUCCAAAGUUCAAAAUUUUAGAAGAGAAGGAUGACAUGACCCCUGAUAU